CAGCAGCCGCGGUAAUACGGAGGGUGCAAGCGUUAAUCGGCAUUACUGGGCGUAAAGCGUGCGUAGGCGGUUCGUUAAGUCUGUUGUGAAAGCCCCGGGCUCAACCUGGGAAUGGCAAUGGAUACUGGCGAGCUAGAGUGUGUCAGAGGAUGGUGGAAUUCCCGGUGUAGCGGUGAAAUGCGUAGAGAUCGGGAGGAACAUCAGUGGCGAAGGCGGCCAUCUGGGACAACACUGACGCUGAGGCACGAAAGCGUGGGGAGCAAACAGGAUUAGAUACCCGCGUAGUCCCUGUCUCUUAUAC
Molecule: ribosomal RNA, 301 nt
Filed under: uncultured bacterium
Lineage: Bacteria
Description: partial 16S ribosomal RNA
Rfam family: Bacterial small subunit ribosomal RNA
Source: RNAcentral